UUUCAGAACCAAAUAAAUUGAAAAUUCCGAGGGGUUCUAGUGGAUCAAACAAUGAAGGAUUUGAAGCCGCGUCGAGGGCGCAGGAAACGAGAUCCAUCUUGCAAUCUUUUUGAAAAAAUGGAAACGGAACACUGCGGCCCGUUGUCAAGUCACCUGCCAGCUCAGCCACAUCGGCUCCCGCCAUGGACCGAGCACUCCGGUUGCUCCGACUGUCGUCUCAACUCAUUCUAUUGUCGCCACUGCUGCCGCUGUUGCUCUGCUGCUUGCUGCUGUUGAUACGGCACGAAAUGUGUAUAGAAAAUUCAGCCAUCCACUUCUGUCAGCUGGCGCGGCCGAGGAUGGGGAUGCAAUCGUUGGCUUGGGAGUGUGUGUGUGUGUGGGGAGGGGGGGCACUACUCACUUUUGUAAGAUACGCACGUUUCUACAAUUAAUAAAUUAAAAAAUGUAAUUGAAAACUUAAAAUUAGAUAUUACUUAUUUCUACCCUAAUCUAUUUGUUUUUAGCCACCAUUCUCGGUCUUGUCCGUUUCGUAUUGUCUUUUUAUAAUCCCGAUUUCGCAGAUAUCAGAUAAUACGUUACAGUAUAAUUUGAGACUUUGGAAUUGUAAUUUUUUUGUUCAUACACUUUCUGGUAUGUUAAAAUGGUAAAACAAUAUGCAUUGAGAAAAAAUUUAAUUGCACCAGAAAAAUAUUUCGUUUAAUGGUACCAAAGAGAUAUUUUGUUAACUCAAUGAAUCAUUUAGCUAAAAAAAUCGAAUAUAUUGCAUGCAACGUUUUCUUGGAAAUAUGACAAUUUAUUUCAGUUUAUUUCA
Molecule: long non-coding RNA, 811 nt
Filed under: Orussus abietinus
Lineage: Eukaryota; Metazoa; Arthropoda; Insecta; Hymenoptera; Orussidae
Description: uncharacterized LOC111674028, transcript variant X2
Source: RNAcentral